Salmo trutta (river trout) is the source of this 2878-nucleotide long non-coding RNA. Ensembl annotates it as schwannomin-interacting protein 1-like. Lineage: Eukaryota; Metazoa; Chordata; Actinopteri; Salmoniformes; Salmonidae. The record is from Ensembl.
UACUUAUUCAGCCCGUCUCUCUCCACCCCUCCUCUCUCUGUGUCCCUACUGAAAAGCCGUGAAAUUCCUGAAGGUUUACGCUUUUGUUUCGAUUGUUUUGGCGCAAGAAUUCGUGGAUUUCUUGGAGAUGCUCGGCUACUAACCAGCUAUAACAUUAGGCUACUAAAGUACAUUUGCCACUGGUUGUAACUUCAAAGCCGCGUAAACAAGCUUCCCAUAAUCUUGCAGUUCAACACCCUUCUCCCGUUACAGUGAGCGAGAAGUUGAGAUAAAGGAACGGGGAAUGAAAAAAAGUGUGGAAACUCAGGAAGAAGGAGGGGGAGAAGGAAGGAGAAUAAAGGGAAACUAGGAAGAGUUUUCGCUCAAGGAAGCGAGAGAAAGUUAUGUGGACACAAGAAUCCUCUCCCCCGUUUUGACAGCGCAAGAAGCUGUGAUUUCUACUCCCCUGGGAAAUUGAGCGGAGUGAAGUCUACCCACGCUGGCACUCUCUGCCACUGACACAAGAGAUGGAGGGAGAGAAGGAGAAAGAGAGGGAGCGGGGAGAGGAGAAAGAGAGCGACGAGACGGAGGAAGAGGAGAAACAGAGCGACGAGGCUGAAGAGGAAGAUGAUGAUGCGGAAGGAGCGGCGUUGGUGUGGCAGGAGGGGUCCUACGGAGAGGAUGACCUGGGCCUACCCAUAAUGCAUUGGGAGGCGCUGAGCCUGCGCAUCGCAGAGCUGGAGAAACAGGAAGAGGAAAAGAGAGAGAAGAAAACAAAGUCUUCCAGUGUCCUGGAACGAGGUAAGAAAUUGUCAGCAAGCCGGCCGGAGGAGAGAGAGAGAGGGAAGACGCUGUCCAUGAACCGGCCAGGAGACAGGGAGCAAGGGAAGAGUAAGGAGAGCUGGGAGGACGGAGGCGAGGAGGACUGCAAUAGCCGCGUGACAGCCCUAACUUCUCGUCUUUCGAAUCAGAUGAACCUCCAGCUGUGCUUCAUCAAUGACAGCGGAAGCGAAGAAGAGGAUGAGGAUACUGGCAAAAAAGUUAGCGUGAAGAAUUCCAAAAUGGUUGGUAAGAGCAGUCCCAGUGGGCAGGUGUGCCAGCAGCCAAAGUUCCCUGCCCCCCCUGCAGCCAAGAGCAAAUCAUCAGGCUUCAAGGCUGCGCUGAGCGCACUCAGAAACAAGCUGAGGACUGAGCAGAAACAGGAGAGCCCAGCUUGUUGUAAUCAGCUGUUGAAGAAUAGAAGACUGGACCGUAGUGACCUGCAAGCCUUCAGUCUCAAAGAGCUCAACGUCCACCAAAACUCUCUCAACAAGGCUAUACAAGACCUUAGCACAGAGCUGGUGGUUCAUCUACAGACUCGGGACCAGCUGAGGACAGAACAGGAUGCUAUGCUGCUGGAGGUACAGGAUAUGACAUCACUCUGACGUCACCUUAGAAUCACAUAUAGAAACCUGACCAAGAUGGCUGCCAUUAUCAGCACAAUCUUAGAGCUAUGCAGGUCUAUGACAAGCCACUCUUGCGUAUUAUAUACUCUAUGGACGACACUUUCAGAAGGCCCAUCACCAUAGAAUAAUUCGAAUCAUUCUAAGUUCUACGGUCGUCGUCUAAUAAAAUGGAAUCCCGGUGUUAGAGAUCAGGUCACAAUCAGUCAAUGACGGACACCGGUGCUUGAAAUUAAUGGACGAAUCAAAUCAAUGUGAAGAGACUGCAUCACUCCUAAAUACUUUUUGGAUUGAAUUGCACAGCAUUUUGUUUUUAUUUCCCAGUGAGCAAAACUGGUUGAAAUGACGUCAUCACACCCAGUUUCACAUUCGUUAUGACAUCAUAUCAACCCGGUUUUGCUCUGUCUUUUUCUGUGUUUUUAUAAAGGGAAACGUGUAUGUCUGGACUGUUAAUGUUGUUGUGUUGUAGUGUUUUAGGGGGAAAAUGACGGUAAUAUUAUAAGGGAUUAAUAAGCUGCUAUUGCUGCCCAUGGAUCAGUCUAGUUCUAAUGUCCACUGUCAUCCACAUGGUGAAAUGCAAUGAUUGUUUGGUAGCACAUUAUUUGAACUGUACGUCAUACGGUAUCAUAACAAAUGUCCGAAGAUUUCCUGUCAUUGAGCGUUACGACGUCGAGUUUGAAUAAAGUGUUACCCGGUUGUUUUUAUUCUUGUUGCUGGGACACGUUUCAUUGUUUGUUUUGAUUUGUACGUUGCUACGUCUUCUAUUCUCGUCUAUGUUUUAAUGUAUGUAUGAUGAUCGUUGAAUGAGUCAGUCAGAGAAAGGGGCAUUACUAACCAAACACACACACACAGUAAUGCGAGCACAGCUCAACUCAAUGACUUGGGUCUAUUUGAGAUAGCAGGAAGUGUAAAAGGAAUGGAGUACUAUAUUAACCUGCAUACUGUUGUAAUAUGACAACAAUGUACCUACCAGCCGACCGACAAGAUGCCUGACCAAGCCUCAUUCGUUUGGUACUGUUGUCAUAAAACAGCAACACAAACACACAGACACACACACAAGGAGCAUUGGGAUUUUGUGUGGGUUACAUGAGUUUGACAUCACUGUUGACUUUGUUUUAUUCUACAAUAAUUUUGCAUGAAAUAAACAGGUUGUCAAGGAUACAUAUUGUAUGUAGGUGUGCUAGUGCUGCUUUGUAUGUAUGUAUGUACCUGUAUCUAGAGACGGAUUAAGUGUACAUGUACAGUAGCUAUUUACAUAAUGUAUUUAGCACAGAUGUAAAUUGUAUACAUUGCCGUGUGUGUGUGUGUGUGUGUGUGUGUGUGUGUGUGUGUGUGUGUGUGUGUGUGUGUGUGUGUGUGUGUGUGUGUGUGUGUGUGUGUGUGUGUGUGUGUGUGUGUGUGUGUGACUUCAGCCCUGGUUAGAGUUUGCCUUAGCCAAAUGUCUAGAUCAGCAGAAU